UGCCAGCCGCCGCGGUAAUACGGAGGAUGCAAGCGUUAUCCGGAAUCAUUGGGUUUAAAGGGUCCGUAGGCGGGCAAUUAAGUCAGAGGUGAAAGUUUGCGGCUCAACCGUAAAAUUGCCUUUGAUACUGGUUGUCUUGAAUCAUUGUGAAGUGGUUAGAAUAUGUAGUGUAGCGGUGAAAUGCAUAGAGAUUACAUAGAAUACCAAUUGCGAAGGCAGAUCACUAACAAUGUAUUGACGCUGAGGGACGAAAGCGUGGGGAGCGAACAGGAUUAGAUA
This 279-nucleotide ribosomal RNA is filed under the name uncultured bacterium. RNAcentral's name for it is "partial 16S ribosomal RNA". It matches the Rfam family "Bacterial small subunit ribosomal RNA", at positions 506 to 784 of the family's 1533-position model. The record is from RNAcentral.